GACGAAGGAUGCAAGCGUUAUCCGGAUUCAUUGGGUUUAAAGGGAGCGUAGGCGGCCUCGUAAGUCAGUGGUGAAAUCUUUGGGCUUAACCCAAAAAUUGCCAUUGAUACUGCAGGGCUUGAGUACAGUUGCUGUGGGCGGAAUAUGACAUGUAGUGGUGAAAUACAUAGAGAUGUCAUAGAACACCGAUUGCGAAGGCAGCUCACAAAACUGUAACUGACGCUGAGGCUCGAAAGUGCGGGGAUCAAACAGG
This 253-nucleotide ribosomal RNA is filed under the name uncultured bacterium. RNAcentral describes it as "partial 16S ribosomal RNA". It matches the Rfam family "Bacterial small subunit ribosomal RNA", at positions 524 to 776 of the family's 1533-position model. The record is from RNAcentral.